CCUACGGGGGGCAGCAGUGGGGAAUAUUGGACAAUGGGGGGAACCCUGAUCCAGCCAUGCCGCGUGUGUGAAGAAGGCCCUCGGGUUGUAAAGCACUUUCAGUGAGGAAGAACGCCUGGUGGUUAAUACCCAUCAGGAAAGACAUCACUCACAGAAGAAGCACCGGCUAACUCCGUGCCAGCAGCCGCGGUAAUACGGAGGGUGCGAGCGUUAAUCGGAAUUACUGGGCGUAAAGCGCGCGUAGGUGGCUUGAUAAGCCGGUUGUGAAAGCCCCGGGCUCAACCUGGGAACGGCAUCCGGAACUGUCAAGCUAGAGUGCAGGAGAGGAAGGUAGAAUUCCCGGUGUAGCGGUGAAAUGCGUAGAGAUCGGGAGGAAUACCAGUGGCGAAGGCGGCCUUCUGGACUGACACAGACACUGAGGUGCGAAAGCGUGGGUAGCAAACAGGAUUAGAUACCCUUGUAGUC
This 465-nucleotide ribosomal RNA is filed under the name Vreelandella stevensii. RNAcentral's name for it is "partial 16S ribosomal RNA". It matches the Rfam family "Bacterial small subunit ribosomal RNA", at positions 338 to 795 of the family's 1533-position model. Lineage: Bacteria; Pseudomonadati; Pseudomonadota; Gammaproteobacteria; Oceanospirillales; Halomonadaceae. The record is from RNAcentral.